This is a non-coding RNA of Gossypium hirsutum (cotton), 107 nucleotides long. Lineage: Eukaryota; Viridiplantae; Streptophyta; Magnoliopsida; Malvales; Malvaceae. The record is from Rfam.
AACCCAUGGUAAGGCCACCUUCUCAAAAGAGCCUUGUAUCUCUCCCAUGCAUCAAUGAGCAUUUCUAGAUCCAUCUGUACAAAGGAAGAGAUGUCAUUCCUCAACUU